GGCGGCAUGCUUACACAUGCAAGUCGAACGGUAACAGGUUAAGCUGACGAGUGGCGAACGGGUGAGUAAUGUAUNCGGAACGUGCCCAGUCGUGGGGGAUAACUGCUCGAAAGAGCAGCUAAUACCGCAUACGACCUGAGGGUGAAAGCGGGGGAUCGCAAGACCUCGCGCGAUUGGAGCGGCCGAUAUCAGAUUAGGUAGUUGGUGGGGUAAAGGCUCACCAAGCCAACGAUCUGUAGCUGGUCUGAGAGGACGACCAGCCACACUGGGACUGAGACACGGCCCAGACUCCUACGGGAGGCAGCAGUGGGGAAUUUUGGACAAUGGGCGCAAGCCUGAUCCAGCCAUGCCGCGUGCGGGAAGAAGGCCUUCGGGUUGUAAACCGCUUUUGUCAGGGAAGAAAAGGUUCUGGCUAAUACCUGGGACUCAUGACGGUACCUGAAGAAUAAGCACCGGCUAACUACGUGCCAGCAGCCGCGGUAAUACGUAGGGUGCAAGCGUUAAUCGGAAUUACUGGGCGUAAAGCGUGCGCAGGCGGUUAUGCAAGACAGAGGUGAAAUCCCCGGGCUCAACCUGGGAACUGCCUUUGUGACUGCAUAGCUAGAGUGCGGCAGAGGGGGAUGGAAUCCCGCGUGUAACAGUGAAAUGCGUAGAUAUGCG
Molecule: ribosomal RNA, 660 nt
Filed under: uncultured bacterium
Lineage: Bacteria
Description: bacterial SSU rRNA
Rfam family: Bacterial small subunit ribosomal RNA
Source: RNAcentral